Taeniopygia guttata (zebra finch) is the source of this 3531-nucleotide long non-coding RNA. RefSeq lists it as uncharacterized. Lineage: Eukaryota; Metazoa; Chordata; Aves; Passeriformes; Estrildidae. The record is from RefSeq and is a predicted model, not a curated record.
CUUCCAUUAACGCUAAAGGGUGAUACCAUUAAGACAAAUGUACAGUUAAUCUCUGGCACUGUGGAGAUAAAAAUAUCCCUCAGAGAGUGCUCUGGCUGGGCUGGAAACAUUCAUUAUCUGAGUUGCAUUUCGCAGCAUGAAGCACCUUUAUAGGCUGCUUUCUAAUUUUACUGCCCCUACCGUGUAUUUCUUAGGGGGAAGGAGAAGAGAAAAAGGGGACCUAUCCAUCGGAGAGAUGAAGGAAAUAGAGAUUGCUUCCUUCAAACCCCAGUGCACAGACAGUGUUUCACAUGAAUAGCAGAGAUCAGAUGAUUUUUGAUCUCUUUCCUGGAUCAUCAUCAUCAUUUCAGAAUUGCCUCAGAACACCAGGACACUUGCUACUUUUAUUUUAGUAGUAUCACAGUAGCCCUUGGAGAUGGAGCUUCCUAAUCUUUCCUCAUGUCAUGCCAACUAAUAGACAUAUGAAACAAGAGAUGAUCCAUAAUCAGACCCUACAACAGACAAAGGAGUAGAGCCUGGUGUGAAUCCAAAUCUUAAGAGGCCAGAAGCAUCUUUUCAUUGCUCCUCAUCUACCUAUAGUUCAGCAUGGUUUGACAUCACUGGUGUUGAGUACUGCAGUGUGUUUGUCCCAGAUGUUGCUCUAAGACCAGGUGCUGCAAACCUUUUGGAAUUAACUUCAUGCAGACCCCUUUCCCAAAGCAGAGGUAUUCCAGCUUUGAUAAGACAACACUGACAUUCACCUUCACUAUUCAGUUUGUCACCCUUUUUGCUCAAAAAUGAGGACUUUCAUCCCUUUCUUGUACACAGGCCUGGGUUUCACCCAAAGCUGACUGUGUUUCACUGCCAGCCAGGCUGAUCUAGUGGGAUGAAUGCUUUCUUCUGCUUCAUCAAGGAAAAGGAACUUAAACGAUCAGAACUUGCUGAGAAAAUUCUCCAUCUUUUCUAUGCAUUUCUCAGCUGUCAUCACUCUGCAAAAGACCAUUUAACACAACUUCAGCAAGACCUUUGAAAGAACAGCAGGGAAGAGUCUACCUGCUGAGCCCUUGUCCCCUGCUGAGCCUGUAGCUGGUUGGGAACAGAGCUGCUGCACCUUCAUGCAUUUCUUUGGAAAGAGGGAGCAGUGUUAAAAUUAGAACUGGUAGUGGAAAAGCAGCAAGGAGCAGGAAUUGCAGGGAAGGGGGAACAGAUGUAGGUCUCCAAUCACCUAUUCUGUAUUAGGGGUUUGCACGGCUGGGAAAUGCAGAAAUAGAUGGUCUGUAUACUCCUUUCCCUACUCCUUCAGUCCUAGGAGAAAGGUGAAAGAAACAGUUCUGCAAAGCAACAAAGUCGUGAUUUAGCAAGGCCAGAAACUUGUGCAGCAGCUCUGCAAGGGCUCAUGCAAACACACACACCUUUGGCUGCUGGAACCUGUUUGGCUGCCAGAGUGGACAUGAGCCAGAAGACCAGGUCACCCAAAAAAGCCAAAAAAUAAUAAAGAGCCCCAGACCUACAACAACAAAAAACAAGAAAUAGCACACAGUACUCCUCCAAAAUAACAACAGAAUCAGCCCCAUGAUGGACACAUUGAAGAUAAAGGAGCACCCACCAGGGAUGUAUUUGCCCUGGUGUAGUAAAUUCACUUUUGGAAGAGUUGCCAGCAGGGAUCUCAGAUUAAAAUCUCUCCUGCAGUAGGAAGCACCUCCAGGAGCUCAGCAUCUCCCUUCCCUUCCCCACAGUAUGAAGUACCAUUCCAAGUCCCAGUGUGAGACUUGAACCUGCAGUGACCUCCUGAGCCCUGCAGUGAAGGAUGCAUGAGCCAAUGAGUCAUGUUGACUCUGGCUUGGAUCUAAAUGGGCCUCUUCUCUCAUACCAGAGAAACCACGUUCACACAGCCACCGAAGUUGCCUGUAUCGGAUAACCCUCAGUGCAGGAGUUGGGUGGUGCUAGUUGCUGUCAUCCUUGCCAGGAGGGAAGGGGUGAGCAAUGGGGUGGGGAUAUCAAAACCCAGUUAAUCCAGAAGUUACAUCCUCUCUGUAAUUUAGGGUGCAGGAGAAAUUGUCAUCCAGUUUGAAUGGUAGAGACUAAACUAACCCUCUGGUUAAUGAAAAUGAUGACUUCUCUUUCUCUGUGGGUGGUCUUUUAUUUGAGUGAACAAGGGAUUGUUCACUGCAAGGGAUUGUUCAAUACAUCUUUUGAGAUGUCACUUUUUACUUGCCUGUCCUGUACACAACCAAGUCACCUUCCAGGGCUUUUUUGUGACAUCAUGAAGGUACCUUUGGGCAUUCCAAAUUGCCUCCUGCUGUGGGGCAGAUAGCGAAGUUGGUGGCUACUCUUGGCUCACCUUCUCCAUGCUCCUUACAGAUCUCCAGCUUCCAAUCUCCACAUCCCCUCUGCAGGCACUGCCUAAGUGAAACUGAAGAAAGAAGAAGGACUUGUCCAGAAUCCAGCAGCAAGCCAACACCAGAACUGGGAGAGCAACCCAGCCCUUCUGACUCCAAUGCCCCAGGCUUCGUCUGCUAGACAGGAGUGCUGGUCAUGUUUGAAUAAUGACAUUAUCUCUGCUAGACUAGUCAAAGCCCAAAAUAUUAGGCCUGAGCUGCAUGACCUGUUGUGCCAGUAAAAGCUGCCUUCUGUCAGCACAGCCAGUGUCCACAUCCAAUGCUGAGGCCUGGAAGGGGCAUGUCUAGUAAGACAACUUCUGCAUAGUGAAUGGUUUUUUACUCUGAAUACAUUCUAGUGCCACAGUGGGAUAGUCUUCCUAGAGAGUAAUGGUCAUACCUAGUAGCCAUCAAGGACUGUACCCAGUCGGUGGAGCUGAAACCUCAUGAGAGGCCUGUCUGCAGAUCUGCAGUGACAAGGGACAGUGCAGCUCUGGAGAGAUGGUUGCACACUCAACAUGUUCGCAUUCCCCAUGAUAUCAGUCAAGGCCUCUCACAACCAGGAUGUUGUAGUCUCUAACCAGUCUCCAAUCAGAUUCUACUCUCAAAAUUCUGCUGUGAGCAAAACAGGUAAAAGAAUGCCAAAACUUGCAGGUUUGGAUAAGCAGAGGACUGAACACAAAGUCAUUGGCAGGAACAUUUAAUGAGGAGCAAAGAGAAAAGGACUGAAUCAAAGGGAAAUUGCUGAUUAAUACCAAAGUGUAUGCAUAAAAAUACAUGUGCAUGAGUCAUCCACAAGAGAAAGAGAGACUCCAGAUAAAUCCAACUUGCUCUCUAAAAAGCGAAAAGUAGAAGGACUGUUCUGGAAAAUAAACAAUCAUUUGGAUGCAUUCAGAUCAAUCUGACUCCCACCAUCUGCUGAAACUUUGUGGGAAAUGAAUUAAAUUCUCUUUCCUUACACCUUAAUUUUGCAAUCUUCCUGCUCAUAAUGCUGCUCCUUAGAUCUGUAAAAAGAAUGUAAUCUGUGCUUAAGGACCAGGACCUGCCAAUGCCCAGAUCAUCCAUUUAGUGUCCUUGCUGAAGAAAUAAUAGGGACAAGCCAACCUGAGGCAGAUUUUUGUCCCACUGGAUAGCAAGAUUAUCACAAAUUUUUGAAGAUCACAAGAACUUUAGA